GAUGAACGCUGGCGGCGUGCCUAAUACAUGCCAGUCGAGCGAACAGACGAGGAGCUUGCUCCUCUGACGUUAGCGGCGGCCGGGUGAGUAACACGUGGAUAACCUACCUAUAAGACUGGGAUAACUUCGGGAAACCGGAGCUAAUACCGGAUCAUAUAUUGAACCGCAUGGUUCAAUAGUGAAAGACGGUUUUGCUGUCACUUAUAGAUGGAUCCGCGCCGCAUUAGCUAGUUGGUAAGGUAACGGCUUACCAAGGCAACGAUGCGUAGCCGACCUGAGAGGGUGAUCGGCCACACUGGAACUGAGACACGGUCCAGACUCCUACGGGAGGCAGCAGUAGGGAAUCUUCCGCAAUGGGCGAAAGCCUGACGGAGCAACGCCGCGUGAGUGAUGAAGGUCUUCGGAUCGUAAAACUCUGUUAUUAGGGAAGAACAAAUGUGUAAGUAACUAUGCACGUCUUGACGGUACCUAAUCAGAAAGCCACGGCUAACUACGUG
RNAcentral lists this ribosomal RNA (497 nucleotides) under uncultured bacterium. RNAcentral's name for it is "partial 16S ribosomal RNA". It matches the Rfam family "Bacterial small subunit ribosomal RNA", at positions 28 to 507 of the family's 1533-position model. The record is from RNAcentral.